RNAcentral lists this ribosomal RNA (468 nucleotides) under uncultured bacterium. Its description in RNAcentral is "partial 16S ribosomal RNA". It matches the Rfam family "Bacterial small subunit ribosomal RNA", at positions 28 to 507 of the family's 1533-position model. The record is from RNAcentral.
GACGAACGCUGGCGGCGUGCUUAACACAUGCAAGUCGAACGGAAAGGCCCUGCUUUUGCGGGGUGCUCGAGUGGCGAACGGGUGAGUAACACGUGAGUAACCUGCCCUUGACUUUGGGAUAACUUCAGGAAACUGGGGCUAAUACCGGAUAGGAGCUCCUGCUGCAUGGUGGGGGUUGGAAAGUUUCGGCGGUUGGGGAUGGACUCGCGGCUUAUCAGCUUGUUGGUGGGGUAGUGGCUUACCAAGGCUUUGACGGGUAGCCGGCCUGAGAGGGUGACCGGCCACAUUGGGACUGAGAUACGGCCCAGACUCCUACGGGAGGCAGCAGUGGGGAAUAUUGCACAAUGGGCGGAAGCCUGAUGCAGCGACGCCGCGUGCGGGAUGACGGCCUUCGAGUUGUAAACCGCUUUCGCCUGUAACGAAGCGUGAGUGACGGUAAUGGGUAAAGAAGCACCGGCUAACUACGUG